This 428-nucleotide ribosomal RNA is filed under the name uncultured bacterium. RNAcentral describes it as "bacterial SSU rRNA". It matches the Rfam family "Bacterial small subunit ribosomal RNA", at positions 917 to 1359 of the family's 1533-position model. The record is from RNAcentral.
GGACCCGCACAAGCGGUGGAGGAUGUUCUUUAAUUCGAUGAUAAGCGAAGAACCUUACCAGGGCUUGACAUCCCUUGAAUUACUCCGAAAGGAGUGAGUGCUUUAUUGAGCAAGGUGACAGAUUCUGCAUGGCCGUCGUCAGCUCGUGUCGUGAGAUGUUUGGUUAAGUCCAUCAACGAGCGCAACCCUUGUCGUCUGUUGUAUUUUUCAGGCGAAACUGCCCCGGCAACGGGGAGGAAGGAGGGGAUGAUGUCAGGUCAGUAUUGAUCUUACGUCCUGGGCUAGAAACGUCCUACAAUGGCCGGUACAACGGGCAGCGAAACAGUAAUGUGAAGCAAAUCCCAUCAAAGCCGGUCCCAGUUCGGAUUGAGGGCUGAAACUCGCCCUCAUGAAGUCGGAAUCGCUAGUAAUCGCAGGUCAGCACACUG